AGAGCGAACGCUGGCGGCAGGCCUAACACAUGCAAGUCGAACGGACCCUUCGGGGUUAGUGGCGGACGGGUGAGUAACACGUGGGAACGUGCCUUUUGGUUCGGAAUAGCUCCUGGAAACGGGUGGUAAUGCCGAAUGUGCCCUUCGGGGGAAAGAUUUAUCGCCAUUAGAGCGGCCCGCGUCUGAUUAGCUAGUUGGUGAGGUAAUGGCUCACCAAGGCGACGAUCAGUAGCUGGUCUGAGAGGAUGACCAGCCACAUUGGGACUGAGACACGGCCCAAACUCCUACGGGAGGCAGCAGUGGGGAAUCUUGCGCAAUGGGCGAAAGCCUGACGCAGCCAUGCCGCGUGAAUGAUGAAGGUCUUAGGAUUGUAAAAUUCUCUCACCGGGUACGAUAAUGACGGUACCCGGAGAAGAACGCCCGGCUAACGUACGUCGCCAGCAGCCGC
Molecule: ribosomal RNA, 448 nt
Filed under: uncultured soil bacterium
Lineage: Bacteria
Description: bacterial SSU rRNA
Rfam family: Bacterial small subunit ribosomal RNA
Source: RNAcentral